Molecule: long non-coding RNA, 2680 nt
Organism: Oncorhynchus tshawytscha (Chinook salmon)
Lineage: Eukaryota; Metazoa; Chordata; Actinopteri; Salmoniformes; Salmonidae
Source: Ensembl
AAAGGGAACCGAUUCCCUCCGACCACCAACCUGAGGCAUUGUCUCUGUGUUUUUCCGGACAUUUUUUCCACACGACCAGCUAUCGAAUUUACAUCGCCUCCUGAUGAUUUUUAUAGCUUAUUAACGUGUAGUAAUACCUAAAGUUGCAUUAGAAAGGUAUUUCGAAGUGUUUUGUGAAAGUUUAUCGUCGACUUUUUAACUUUUAAAAAAUGACGUUACGUUAUGAAACGCUAUUUUUUUCAGUUUAUCACACAGUCUUCAUAGAUCGAUAUCUAGGCUAUAUAUGGACCGAUUUAAUCCAAAAAAGACCCAGUAUUGAUUAUGGGACAUCAAGGUGUGCCAAGAAAGAAGAUGGUCAAAGGACCUGAGCCCUAGGACUACCUGACAUGAUGACUCCUUGCUGUCCCCAGUCCACCUGGCCGUGCUGCUGCUCCAGUUUCAACUGUUCUGCCUUAUUAUUAUUCGACCAUGCUGGUAAUUUAUGAACAUUUGAACAUCUUGGCCAUGUUCUGUUAUAAUCUCCACCCGGCACAGCCAGAUUCCCUGAUCCACCUCUACGCAGACGACACCAUUCUAUAUACUUCCGGCCCGUCCUUGGACACUGUGCUAUCUAACCUCCAAACGAGCUUCAAUGCCAUACAACACUCCUUCCGUGGCCUCCAACUGCUCUUAAACGCUAGUAAAACCAAAUGCAUGCUUUUCAACCGUUCGCUGCCUGCACCCGCACGCCUGACCAGCAUCACCACCCUGGAUGGUUCCGACCUUGAAUAUGUGGACAUCUAUAAGUACCUAGGUGUCUGGCUACCUCUAGUGGUGUGGGAGCUGUGCUUUGGCAGAGUGGGUGGGGUUAUAUCCUUCCUGUUUGGCCCUGUCCGGGGGUGUCCUCGGAUGGGGCCACAGUGUCUCCUGACCCCUCCUGUCUCAGCCUCCAGUAUUUAUGCUGCAGUAGUUUAUGUGUCGGGGGGCUAGGGUCAGUUUGUUAUAUCUGGAGUACCUCUCCUGUCCUAUUCGGUGUCCUGUGUGAAUCUAGGUGUGCGUUCUCUAAUUCUCUCUUUCUCUCUUUCUCUCUCUCUCUCGGAGGACCUGAGCCCUAGGACCAUGCCCCAGGACUACCUGACAUGAUGACUCCUUGCUGUCCCCAGUCCAGCUGGCCGUGCUGCUGCUCCAGUUUCAACUGACCUGAGCCCUAGGACCAUGCCCCAGGACUACCUGACAUGAUGACUCCUUGCUGUCCCCAGUCCACCUGGCUGUGCUGCUGCUCCAGUUUCAACUGUUCUGCCUUAUUAUUAUUUGACCAUGCUGGUCAUUUAUGAACAUUUGAACAUCUUGGCCAUGCUCUGUUAUAAUCUCCACCCGGCACAGCCAGAAGAGGACUGGCCACCCCACAUAUGCUCUCUCUAAUUCUCUCUUUCUUUCUCUCUCUCGGAGGACCUGAGCGCUAGGACCAUGCCCCAGGACUACCUGACACGAUGACUCCUUGCUGUCCCCAGUCCACCUGACCGUGCUGCUGCUCCAGUUUCAACUGUUCUGCCUUAUUAUUAUACGACCAUGCUGGUCAUUUAUGAACAUUUGAACAUCUUGGCCAUGUUCUGUUAUAAUCUCCACCCGGCACAGCCAGAAGAGGACUGGCCACCCCACAUAGCCUGGUUCCUCUCUAGGUUUCUUCCUAGGUUUUGGCCUUUCUAGGGAGUUUUUCCUAGCCACCGUGCUUCUACACCUGCAUUGCUUGCUGUUUGGGGUUUUAGGCUGGGUUUCUGUACAGCACUUUGAGAUAUCAGCUGAUGUACGAAGGGCUAUAUAAAUAAAUUUGAUUUGAUUUGGCUAGACUGUAAACUCUCCUUCCAGACUCAUAUCAAACAUCUCCAAUCGAAAAUCAAAUCAAGAGUCGGCUUUCUAUUCCGCAACAAAGCCUCCUUCACUCACGCCGCCAAACGUACCCUAGUAAAACUGACUAUCCUACCGAUCCUCGACAUCGGCGAUGUCAUCUACAAAAUUGCUUCCAACACUCUACUCAGCAAACUGGAUGCAGUUUAUCACAGUGCCAUCCGUUUUGUCACUAAAGCACCUUAUACCACCCACCACUGCGACUUGUAUGCUCUAGUCGGCUGGCCCUCGCUACAUAUUCGUCGCCAGACCCACUGGCUCCAGGUCAUCUACAAGUCCAUGCUAGGUAAAGCUCCGCCUUAUCUCAGUUCACUGGUCACGAUGGCAACACCCAUCCGUAGCACGCGCUCCAGCAGGUGUAUCUCACUGAUCAUCCCUAAAGCCAACACCUCAUUUGGCCGCCUUUCGUUCCAGUUCUCUGCUGCCUGUGACUGGAACGAAUUGCAAAAAUCGCUGAAGUUGGAGACUUUUAUCUCCCUCACCAACUUCAAACAUCUGCUAUCUGAGCAGUUAACCGAUCGCUGCAGCUGUACAUAGUCUAUCGGUAAAUAGCCCACCCAUUUUUACCUACCUCAUCCCCAUACUGUUCUUAUUUAUUUACUUUUCUGCUCCUUUGCACACCAAUAUCUCUACCUGUACAUUACCAUCUGAUCAUUUAUCACUCCAGUGUUAUUAAUCUGCAAAAUUGUAAUUAUUCGCCAACCACCUCAUGCCUUUUGCACACAAUGUAUAUAGACUCCCCUUUUUUUCUACUGUGUUAUUGACUUGUUAAUUGUUUACUCCAUGUGUAACUCUG